UACGUAUGGAGCAAGCGUUAUCCGGAUUUACUGGGUGUAAAGGGUGCGUAGGCGGCGCGGCAAGUCAGAUGUGAAAGACCGGGGCUCAACCCCGGGGCUGCAUUUGAAACUGCCGAGCUUGAGUCCGGGAGAGGCAGGCGGAAUUCCUAGUGUAGCGGUGAAAUGCGUAGAUAUUAGGAGGAACACCAGUGGCGAAGGCGGCCUGCUGGACCGGAACUGACGCUGAGGCACGAAAGCGUGGGGAGCAAACAGG
Molecule: ribosomal RNA, 253 nt
Filed under: uncultured bacterium
Lineage: Bacteria
Description: partial 16S ribosomal RNA
Rfam family: Bacterial small subunit ribosomal RNA
Source: RNAcentral